This 606-nucleotide long non-coding RNA is filed under the name Gallus gallus (chicken). The record is from RNAcentral. Lineage: Eukaryota; Metazoa; Chordata; Aves; Galliformes; Phasianidae.
CAGAAAGUAAACAUUGUGAUCCUGGUGAUAGAAUUAUGAAUUAUUUCACUAAGAUUGGCAGGCAUUUUGUGACAAAAUAGAACAAAACAGACAAACAACUGAUUUGCAAAAGGAUGUAAUAGAAGAAAUCUGUCGACAAACUGUAAGUAUUGAUUAUUUAUUUAUUUAUUUAAUAUUGAUCACGUAGGAUUAAUUGUAGUAUAUAUAUUACUCAAACCUAAAAACUCUGUGUUGAAUAUGUUGUGUCACAAAUAACAUGUGAUUUGACACAGGUAGAUUAGAUUCAUUUAAUUAAGGAAUUCAGUGGCAUAAACCUAUCUAUUAUUCUUUCAAAUUUCUAAUAAUGUUGGAUUAAAAAUCCACUUUUUCUAAAAAAAGGUUUAAGCUUUUGAACUGUCAACUGACUGAAGGGCUGACGUGUUUAGUACUAACUCAUAAAUCUCAUAAAAAUUCUUUUUUAAAAAAGGUAGUGCCUUGUUUAAUCACGAUGUCUGAGGAGUGGUAUAGACAUGUUUGUGAAAUAUUGUUUUCUGCUAUUUAUAACUUGUUCUUUUUCUACUACCUUGUCCUAGGUCAUACUUUUUGAUUGUUACUAGCAAAACUGCC